AGCGAACGCUGGCGGCAGGCUUAACACAUGCAAGUCGAACGCCCCGCAAGGGGAGUGGCAGACGGGUGAGUAACACGUGGGAACGUACCCUUUGGUUCGGAAUAACUUGGGGAAACUCAAGCUAAUACCGGAUAAGCCCUUAUGGGGAAAGGUUUACUGCCGAAGGAUCGGCCCGCGUCUGAUUAGCUAGUUGGUGAGGUAAUGGCUCACCAAGGCGACGAUCAGUAGCUGGUCUGGGAGGAUGAUCAGCCACACUGGGACUGAGACACGGCCCAGACGCCUACGGGAGGCAGCAGUGAGGGAUAUUGGACAAUGGGGGCAACCCUGAUCCAGCCAUGCCGCGUGAGUGAUGAAGGCCUUAGGGUUGUAAAGCUCUUUUACCCGGGACGAUAAUGACUGUACCGGGAGAAUAAGCCCCGGCUAACUUCGUGCCAGCCGCCGCGGUAA
This 447-nucleotide ribosomal RNA is filed under the name uncultured bacterium. RNAcentral describes it as "partial 16S ribosomal RNA". It matches the Rfam family "Bacterial small subunit ribosomal RNA", at positions 29 to 523 of the family's 1533-position model. The record is from RNAcentral.